Molecule: ribosomal RNA, 497 nt
Filed under: uncultured bacterium
Lineage: Bacteria
Description: partial 16S ribosomal RNA
Rfam family: Bacterial small subunit ribosomal RNA
Source: RNAcentral
GACGAACGCUGGCGGCGUGCCUAAUACAUGCAAGUUGAGCGCUGAAGGUUGGUCCUUGUACCAACUGGAUGAGCAGCGAACGGGUGAGUAACGCGUGGGGAAUCUGCCUUUGAGCGGGGGACAACAUUUGGAAACGAAUGCUAAUACCGCAUAAAAACUUUAAACACAAGUUUUAAGUUUGAAAGAUGCAAUUGCAUCACUCAAAGAUGAUCCCGCGUUGUAUUAGCUAGUUGGUGAGGUAAAGGCUCACCAAGGCGAUGAUACAUAGCCGACCUGAGAGGGUGAUCGGCCACAUUGGGACGGAGACACGGCCCAAACUCCUACGGGAGGCAGCAGUAGGGAAUCUUCGGCAAUGGACGAAAGUCUGACCGAGCAACGCCGCGUGAGUGAAGAAGGUUGUCGGAUCGUAAAACUCGGUUGGUAGAGAAGAACGUUGGUGAGAGUGGAAAGCUCAUCAAGUGACGGUAACUACCCAGAAAGGGACGGCUAACUACGUG